AGUGAACGCUGGCGGUAGGCCUAACACAUGCAAGUCGAACGGCAGCACAGUAAGAGCUUGCUCUUACGGGUGGCGAGUGGCGGACGGGUGAGGAAUACAUCGGAAUCUACUUUUUCGUGGGGGAUAACGUAGGUAAACUUACGCUAAUACCGCAUACGACCUACGGGUGAAAGCAGGGGAUCUUCGGACCUUGCGCGAUUGAAUGAGCCGAUGUCGGAUUAGAUAGUUGGCGGGGUAAAGGCCCACCAAGGCGACGAUCCGUAGCUGGUCUGAGAGAAGGGUCAGCGGCACUGGAGCUGAGACAGGGUCCAGGCUCCUACGGGAGGGAGCAGAGGGGAAUAUGGGGCAAUGGGGGCGAGCCUGAUCCAGCCAGACCACGUGGGUGAAGAAGGCGUUCGGGUUGUAAAGCCGUUUUGUUGGGAAAGAAAAGCAGCAGGUUAAUACCCCGCUGUUCUGACGGUACCCAAAGAAUAAGCACCGGCUAACUUCGUG
RNAcentral lists this ribosomal RNA (492 nucleotides) under uncultured bacterium. RNAcentral's name for it is "partial 16S ribosomal RNA". It matches the Rfam family "Bacterial small subunit ribosomal RNA", at positions 29 to 507 of the family's 1533-position model. The record is from RNAcentral.